UACGGGGGAUGCAAGCGUUAUCCGGAUUUAUUGGGUUUAAAGGGUGCGUAGGCGGUUUGAUAAGUCAGCGGUGAAAUAUUUCAGCUUAACUGAAAGGGUGCCGUUGAUACUGUCAGGCUUGAAUAUGGUUGCUGUGGGUGGAAUGUGUGGUGUAGCGGUGAAAUGCUUAGAUAUCACACAGAAUAUCGAUUGCGAAGGCAGCUCACAAAGCCAUUAUUGACGCUGAUGCACGAAAGUGUGGGGAUCAAACAGGAUUAGAUACCCUGAGUCC
This 271-nucleotide ribosomal RNA is filed under the name uncultured bacterium. Its description in RNAcentral is "partial 16S ribosomal RNA". It matches the Rfam family "Bacterial small subunit ribosomal RNA", at positions 524 to 796 of the family's 1533-position model. The record is from RNAcentral.